UUCACCUUUAAUGGCAGUCCAGAGAGGCUGAGAAGGUUCAUAUAAUAGUGUUGUGGAAAUUUGUGCUGCAAAUUUUUCGACAUGCUUUUUCAACACGUAUAUAACCCUCUCAGGCAAUUCGCCUUGAGAGGUUUUUUUAU
Non-coding RNA from Lysinibacillus macroides, 140 nucleotides. The record is from Rfam. NCBI's taxonomy places the organism in Bacteria, Bacillati, Bacillota, Bacilli, Caryophanales, Bacillaceae.